This 1428-nucleotide ribosomal RNA is filed under the name Triticum aestivum (bread wheat). Its description in RNAcentral is "partial small subunit ribosomal RNA". Lineage: Eukaryota; Viridiplantae; Streptophyta; Magnoliopsida; Poales; Poaceae. The record is from RNAcentral.
AUGGCCUCAGAACUAGGGCUAGCGCCGCCGGCGAAGCGCCCGCUACCGUCGGCACCCACCACCAUCACCGGUAUCGGCGACGACCUCCUCCGCGAGAUCUUCCUCAUGCUUCCGUCCCUCCCGAGCCUCGUCCGCGCCGCCCUCGCCUGCCGCACCUUCCUCGGCGCCGUCCGGUCGUCCCCCGCCUUCCGCCGCCGCUUCCUGGCGCUCCACCCGCCCCAGAUCCUCGGCUUCUUCAUCUGCCCCAGCCGCAUCGCCAGCCACCCCUUCGUCCCCUCCCGCGGCCGCUCCGACCCGGACCUCGCCGCCGCCGUCCGCGGCGCCGAUUUCUUCCUCACCCGUCUCCCGGAGAACGGCGGUUCCUCCCGCGGGUGGCACUUCGAGACCUGCUACGGUGGCUACGCCGUCCUCCUCAACCAAACCACGGACCAGAUCGCGGCCUACAACCCCCUCACGCAGGCGCUGCAUCUCUUCCCCCAGCCGCCCGCCGACAAGAUCCUCUUCCACGGCUUGCCUGAGUACUAUUUUUUCUCCGAAGAGGACCAGGGAGUGCUCCGUAUGGUCUGUGUCCAACACCGGAACAUGUCGUGGCAAGUGCCGGCGCGCCUCGCCGUCUUCUCCCCGGCCACCAGCAGCGAGUGGCAGAUUUUGCCGUGGGUGGAGACCCCGCCGCCGCUGCAGCCCGAGGAAGAUGGUCAAAAGGUCAUCACCUUUUACCCUGGUACGCAGGUGAAAGGAUUCGUCUACUGGAAACACACGAGUCAAGCCUAUGCACUCAUUCUCAACACUGCGACACUGCAAUUCUCGAGAGUGGAUUUGCCGCCAUUCUUUGAAGAGAUAGAGACUGUGCAAUUUAUGCUUGGUCAGACCAAGGAUGGGGAGCUCUGUAUGGCUGGCGCAGAUGACAACGAUGGAAAGACAGGAAUGCUCGUUGUUUGCGUUUGGAGAGCUGAUGAGCACGGUGUUGAGAAGUGGAUGCUGGAAGGUAUUUUUGCACUGAGUCUAUUUGUUGAUGCCACAGAGGAUGAUUCCACGGUGCAGGUUGAUGCGAUUAUCGAUGGCUAUGUGUACCUGUCUACUAAGUAUUCUGGGCAAGCCGAGUCCCUCCUAUCCCUCUGCCUGGAAACAGCAAAGCUAACCAAGCUCUUUGAUGGUACAUACACAAGCCCAUCUCAUCCCUAUAUCAUGGCAUGGCCUUCUUCAUUGGCAGACAACAAGGCAAGCCCGUGCUUGAAGAUUCCGGUUUACAGAAGGAUGGUGAAAGCCAAAUCUUCUGGAAGGGGAGGCGGCGAUCCAGAAUUCAGCUAUCAGGAGUUCAGGACCCAUGAAGCUGCUAGUGUGUCCUCGACUGGUGGCUUACUGAGCAUCAGUGAAGAAGAUGAGAGUGAAGAUGAACAAAAUGAGCUGAUGGAUAUUGAGCGGCAGUAA